This 327-nucleotide ribosomal RNA is filed under the name uncultured eukaryote. RNAcentral's name for it is "partial 18S ribosomal RNA". It matches the Rfam family "Eukaryotic small subunit ribosomal RNA", at positions 1470 to 1796 of the family's 1831-position model. The record is from RNAcentral.
CCCUUAGAUGCUCUGGGCCGCACGCGCGCUACACUGAUUCAUGCAACAAGUUUUGUCCUUGGCUGAUAGGCCUGGGUAAUCUUUGAACGUGAAUCGUGAUGGGGAUAGAUGAUUGCAAUUAUUCAUCUUCAACGAGGAAUUCCUAGUAAACGCAAGUCAUCAGCUUGCAUUGAUUACGUCCCUGCCCUUUGUACACACCGCCCGUCGCACCUACCGAUUGAAUGGUCCGGUGAAAUCUUCGGAUCUGAGAGAUGUCUGAUUAAUUUCGGACGCCUUUUGGAAAAGUUGCUUAAACCUUACCAUUUAGAGGAAGGUGAANUCGUAACA